This 976-nucleotide ribosomal RNA is filed under the name uncultured bacterium. RNAcentral's name for it is "bacterial SSU rRNA". It matches the Rfam family "Bacterial small subunit ribosomal RNA", at positions 28 to 1021 of the family's 1533-position model. The record is from RNAcentral.
GACGAACGCUGGCGGCGUGCUUAACACAUGCAAGUCGAGCGGUAAGGCCUUUCGGGGUACACGAGCGGCGAACGGGUGAGUAACACGUGGGUGAUCUGCCCUGCACUUCGGGAUAAGCCUGGGAAACUGGGUCUAAUACCGGAUAUGACCUCCUAUCGCAUGGUGGGUGGUGGAAAGAUUUAUCGGUGCAGGAUGGGCCCGCGGCCUAUCAGCUUGUUGGUGGGGUAAUGGCCUACCAAGGCGACGACGGGUAGCCGACCUGAGAGGGUGACCGGCCACACUGGGACUGAGACACGGCCCAGACUCCUACGGGAGGCAGCAGUGGGGAAUAUUGCACAAUGGGCGAAAGCCUGAUGCAGCGACGCCGCGUGAGGGAUGACGGCCUUCGGGUUGUAAACCUCUUUCAGCAGGGACGAAGCGCAAGUGACGGUACCUGCAGAAGAAGCACCGGCUAACUACGUGCCAGCAGCCGCGGUAAUACGUAGGGUGCGAGCGUUGUCCGGAAUUACUGGGCGUAAAGAGUUCGUAGGCGGUUUGUCGCGUCGUUUGUGAAAACCAGCAGCUCAACUGCUGGCUUGCAGGCGAUACGGGCAGACUUGAGUACUGCAGGGGAGACUGGAAUUCCUGGUGUAGCGGUGAAAUGCGCAGAUAUCAGGAGGAACACCGGUGGCGAAGGCGGGUCUCUGGGCAGUAACUGACGCUGAGGAACGAAAGCGUGGGUAGCGAACAGGAUUAGAUACCCUGGUAGUCCACGCCGUAACGGUGGGCGCUAGGUGUGGGUUCCUUCCACGGAAUCCGUGCCGUAGCUACGCAUUAAGCGCCCCGCCUGGGGAGUACGGCCGCAAGGCUAAAACUCAAAGGAAUUGACGGGGGCCGCACAAGCGGCGGAGCAUGUGGAUUAAUUCGAUGCACGCGAAGAACCUUUACCUGGGUUUGACAUAUACCGGGAAAGCUGCAGAGAUGUGGCCCCCUUGUG